UACGUAGGGUGCGAGCGUUAAUCGGAUUUACUGGGCGUAAAGCGUGCGCAGGCGGCCCGUUAAGACAGGUGUGAAAUCCCUGGGCUCAACCUAGGAAUUGCGCUUGUGACUGGCGGGCUCGAGUACGGUAGAGGGGGGUGGAAUUCCUGGUGUAGCAGUGAAAUGCGUAGAGAUCAGGAGGAACACCGAUGGCGAAGGCAGCCCCCUGGGCCUGUAUUGACGCUCAUGCACGAAAGCGUGGGGAGCAAACAGG
This 253-nucleotide ribosomal RNA is filed under the name uncultured microorganism. RNAcentral's name for it is "partial 16S ribosomal RNA". It matches the Rfam family "Bacterial small subunit ribosomal RNA", at positions 524 to 776 of the family's 1533-position model. The record is from RNAcentral.